RNAcentral lists this ribosomal RNA (2893 nucleotides) under Salmonella enterica subsp. enterica serovar Dublin. RNAcentral describes it as "bacterial LSU rRNA". It matches the Rfam family "Bacterial large subunit ribosomal RNA". The record is from RNAcentral. Lineage: Bacteria; Pseudomonadati; Pseudomonadota; Gammaproteobacteria; Enterobacterales; Enterobacteriaceae.
GGGUUGUGAGGUUAAGCGACUAAGCGUACACGGUGGAUGCCCUGGCAGUCAGAGGCGAUGAAGGGCGUGCUAAUCUGCGAUAAGCGCCGGUAAGGUGAUAUGAACCGUUAUAACCGGCGAUACCCGAAUGGGGAAACCCAGUGUGACUCGUCACACUAUCAUUAACUGAAUCCAUAGGUUAAUGAGGCGAACCGGGGGAACUGAAACAUCUAAGUACCCCGAGGAAAAGAAAUCAACCGAGAUUCCCCCAGUAGCGGCGAGCGAACGGGGAGGAGCCCAGAGCCUGAAUCAGCAUGUGUGUUAGUGGAAGCGUCUGGAAAGGCGCGCGAUACAGGGUGACAGCCCCGUACACAAAAGCGCAUGUGCUGUGAGCUCGAUGAGUAGGGCGGGACACGUGGUAUCCUGUCUGAAUAUGGGGGGACCAUCCUCCAAGGCUAAAUACUCCUGACUGACCGAUAGUGAACCAGUACCGUGAGGGAAAGGCGAAAAGAACCCCGGCGAGGGGAGUGAAAAAGAACCUGAAACCGUGUACGUACAAGCAGUGGGAGCNNGUGACUGCGUACCUUUUGUAUAAUGGGUCAGCGACUUAUAUUCUGUAGCAAGGUUAACCGAAUAGGGGAGCCGGAGGGAAACCGAGUCUUAACCGGGCGUUAAGUUGCAGGGUAUAGACCCGAAACCCGGUGAUCUAGCCAUGGGCAGGUUGAAGGUUGGGUAACACUAACUGGAGGACCGAACCGACUAAUGUUGAAAAAUUAGCGGAUGACCUGUGGCUGGGGGUGAAAGGCCAAUCAAACCGGGAGAUAGCUGGUUCUCCCCGAAAGCUAUUUAGGUAGCGCCUCGUGAAUUCAUCUCCGGGGGUAGAGCACUGUUUCGGCUAGGGGGCCAUCCCGGCUUACCAACCCGAUGCAAACUGCGAAUACCGGAGAAUGUUAUCACGGGAGACACACGGCGGGUGCUAACGUCCGUCGUGAAGAGGGAAACAACCCAGACCGCCAGCUAAGGUCCCAAAGUCAUGGUUAAGUGGGAAACGAUGUGGGAAGGCCCAGACAGCCAGGAUGUUGGCUUAGAAGCAGCCAUCAUUUAAAGAAAGCGUAAUAGCUCACUGGUCGAGUCGGCCUGCGCGGAAGAUGUAACGGGGCUAAACCAUGCACCGAAGCUGCGGCAGCGANNGUUGGGUAGGGGAGCGUUCUGUAAGCCUGUGAAGGUGGCCUGUGAGGGUUGCUGGAGGUAUCAGAAGUGCGAAUGCUGACAUAAGUAACGAUAAAGCGGGUGAAAAGCCCGCUCGCCGGAAGACCAAGGGUUCCUGUCCAACGUUAAUCGGGGCAGGGUGAGUCGACCCCUAAGGCGAGGCCGAAAGGCGUAGUCGAUGGGAAACGGGUUAAUAUUCCCGUACUUGGUGUUACUGCGAAGGGGGGACGGAGAAGGCUAUGUUGGCCGGGCGACGGUUGUCCCGGUUUAAGCGUGUAGGUGUGUGUUCCAGGUAAAUCCGGUUCACUUUAACACUGAGGCGUGAUGACGAGGCACUACGGUGCUGAAGUAACAAAUGCCCUGCUUCCAGGAAAAGCCUCUAAGCAUCAGGUAACAUCAAAUCGUACCCCAAACCGACACAGGUGGUCAGGUAGAGAAUACCAAGGCGCUUGAGAGAACUCGGGUGAAGGAACUAGGCAAAAUGGUGCCGUAACUUCGGGAGAAGGCACGCUGACACGUAGGUGAAGUGAUUUACUCAUGGAGCUGAAGUCAGUCGAAGAUACCAGCUGGCUGCAACUGUUUAUUAAAAACACAGCACUGUGCAAACACGAAAGUGGACGUAUACGGUGUGACGCCUGCCCGGUGCCGGAAGGUUAAUUGAUGGGGUCAGCGCAAGCGAAGCUCCUGAUCGAAGCCCCGGUAAACGGCGGCCGUAACUAUAACGGUCCUAAGGUAGCGAAAUUCCUUGUCGGGUAAGUUCCGACCUGCACGAAUGGCGUAAUGAUGGCCAGGCUGUCUCCACCCGAGACUCAGUGAAAUUGAACUCGCUGUGAAGAUGCAGUGUACCCGCGGCAAGACGGAAAGACCCCGUGAACCUUUACUAUAGCUUGACACUGAACAUUGAGCCUUGAUGUGUAGGAUAGGUGGGAGGCUUUGAAGUGUGGACGCCAGUCUGCAUGGAGCCGACCUUGAAAUACCACCCUUUAAUGUUUGAUGUUCUAACGUGGACCCGUGAUCCGGGUUGCGGACAGUGUCUGGUGGGUAGUUUGACUGGGGCGGUCUCCUCCUAAAGAGUAACGGAGGAGCACGAAGGUUGGCUAAUCCUGGUCGGACAUCAGGAGGUUAGUGCAAUGGCAUAAGCCAGCUUGACUGCGAGCGUGACGGCGCGAGCAGGUGCGAAAGCAGGUCAUAGUGAUCCGGUGGUUCUGAAUGGAAGGGCCAUCGCUCAACGGAUAAAAGGUACUCCGGGGAUAACAGGCUGAUACCGCCCAAGAGUUCAUAUCGACGGCGGUGUUUGGCACCUCGAUGUCGGCUCAUCACAUCCUGGGGCUGAAGUAGGUCCCAAGGGUAUGGCUGUUCGCCAUUUAAAGUGGUACGCGAGCUGGGUUUAGAACGUCGUGAGACAGUUCGGUCCCUAUCUGCCGUGGGCGCUGGAGAACUGAGGGGGGCUGCUCCUAGUACGAGAGGACCGGAGUGGACGCAUCACUGGUGUUCGGGUUGUCAUGCCAAUGGCACUGCCCGGUAGCUAAAUGCGGAAGAGAUAAGUGCUGAAAGCAUCUAAGCACGAAACUUGCCCCGAGAUGAGUUCUCCCUGAGACUUAGAGUCUCCUGAAGGAACGUUGAAGACGACGACGUUGAUAGGCCGGGUGUGUAAGCGCAGCGAUGCGUUGAGCUAACCGGUACUAAUGAACCGUGAGGCUUAACC